This 123-nucleotide ribosomal RNA is filed under the name Corethrella wirthi. It matches the Rfam family "5.8S ribosomal RNA", at positions 1 to 125 of the family's 154-position model. Rfam says of the family: 5.8S ribosomal RNA (5.8S rRNA) is a component of the large subunit of the eukaryotic ribosome. It is transcribed by RNA polymerase I as part of the 45S precursor that also contains 18S and 28S rRNA. Functionally, it is thought that 5.8S rRNA may be involved in ribosome translocation. Lineage: Eukaryota; Metazoa; Arthropoda; Insecta; Diptera; Corethrellidae. The record is from RNAcentral.
AACCCUAAACAGGGGAUCACUAGGCUCAUGGAUCGAUGAAGACCGCAGCAAAAUGCGCGUCAUAAUGUGAACUGCAGGACACAUGAACAUUAAUAAGUUGAACGCAUAUGGCACUUUAUACAC